Molecule: transfer RNA, 71 nt
Filed under: Procambarus clarkii (red swamp crayfish)
Lineage: Eukaryota; Metazoa; Arthropoda; Malacostraca; Decapoda; Cambaridae
Description: transfer RNA glycine (anticodon GCC)
Rfam family: tRNA
About the family: Transfer RNA (tRNA) molecules are approximately 80 nucleotides in length. Their secondary structure includes four short double-helical elements and three loops (D, anti-codon, and T loops).
Source: RNAcentral
GCAUCGGUGGUUCAGUGGUUGAAUUCUCGCCUGCCACGCGGGAGGCCCGGGUUCAAUUUCCGGCCGAUGCA